UACGUAGGGUGCAAGCGUUGUCCGGAAUUAUUGGGCGUAAAGAGCUCGUAGGCGGUUUGUCGCGUCGACUGUGAAAACCCGAGGCUUAACCUCGGGCCUGCAGUCGAUACGGGCAGACUAGAGUUCGGUAGGGGAGACUGGAAUUCCUGGUGUAGCGGUGAAAUGCGCAGAUAUCAGGAGGAACACCGGUGGCGAAGGCGGGUCGCUGGGCCGAUACUGACGCUGAGGAGCGAAAGCGUGGGGAGCGAACAGG
This 253-nucleotide ribosomal RNA is filed under the name uncultured bacterium. RNAcentral describes it as "partial 16S ribosomal RNA". It matches the Rfam family "Bacterial small subunit ribosomal RNA", at positions 524 to 776 of the family's 1533-position model. The record is from RNAcentral.